This is a long non-coding RNA of Fukomys damarensis (Damara mole-rat), 332 nucleotides long. RefSeq lists it as uncharacterized. Lineage: Eukaryota; Metazoa; Chordata; Mammalia; Rodentia; Bathyergidae. The record is from RefSeq and is a predicted model, not a curated record. The transcript is spliced from 3 exons.
UUCCAGAAAGGAUGCAUCUCACGCUGAGAAAUGGUGACGUACUGUAGAAGAUUUGAAAAGGAGAAUAACAAUAACAAAAGGAUCAUUCAGCAGCAUAAAUGACCUCCAGGGCAGGGUCCUCUGCUGCCAAAGGAACAUUCCACCUGCCUGUCACCCAGUUCCAGCAUCCGCUUGUUGGAGUUAAACAAAUCAACACAAUUGCACAGCUAAUCCCAAACCUACUACACCAAUAACUACCAAAAGGAAUCUUUAAAAUGCUGUUUGGCGAGGUACAAAUGACAGAACAAGAACCUCAGCAGGCUACGGGAAAGGAAUAACAAGAACAAACGUGC